Molecule: ribosomal RNA, 1090 nt
Filed under: Lentzea xinjiangensis
Lineage: Bacteria; Bacillati; Actinomycetota; Actinomycetes; Pseudonocardiales; Pseudonocardiaceae
Description: bacterial LSU rRNA
Rfam family: Bacterial large subunit ribosomal RNA
Source: RNAcentral
UUAGAGUGUUCCCAAGUAGCAGCGUACUCGUGGAAUUCGCUGUGAAUCUGGCGGGACCACCCGCUAAGCCUAAAUACUCCCUGGUGACCGAUAGCGGACUAGUACCGUGAGGGAAAGAUGAAAAGUACCCCGGGAGGGGAGUGAAAUAGUACCUGAAACCGUGUGCCUACAAUCCGUCGGAGCCUUUAGGGGUGACGGCGUGCCUUUUGAAGAAUGAGCCUGCGAGUUAGUGCUACGUGGCGAGGUUAACCCGUGUGGGGUAGCCGUAGCGAAAGCGAGUCUGAAUAGGGCGCUUGAGUCGCGUGGUCUAGACCCGAAGCGGUGUGAUCUAGCCAUGGCCAGGGUGAAGCGCGGGUAAGACCGCGUGGAGGCCCGAACCCACCAGGGUUGAAAACCUGGGGGAUGAGCUGUGGUUAGGGGUGAAAGGCCAAUCAAACACCGUGAUAGCUGGUUCUCCCCGAAAUGCAUUUAGGUGCAGCGUCGUAUGUUUCACCGCGGGGGUAGAGCACUGGAUGGUCUAGGGGGCCCACAAGCUUACCGAAAUCAACCAAACUCCGAAUACCGUGGUGUGAGAGUGCGGCAGUGAGACUGCGGGGGAUAAGCUUCGUAGUCGAGAGGGAAACAGCCCAGAACGCCAGCUAAGGCCCCUAAGUGUGUGCUAAGUGGGAAAGGAUGUGGGGUCGCACAGACAGCCAGGAGGUUGGCUUAGAAGCAGCCACCCUUUAAAGAGUGCGUAAUAGCUCACUGGUCAAGUGGUCCUGCGCCGACAAUGUAGCGGGGCUUAAGCACACCGCCGAAGCUGUGUCAUUUCAGCCUUGAGCUGGGAUGGGUAGGGGAGCGUCGUGCAGCCAUUGAAGCGGCGGAGUAAUCCAGCCGUGGAGGCUGUGCGAGUGAGAAUGCAGGCAUGAGUAGCGAAAGACGAGUGAGAAACUCGUCCGCCGGAUGACCAAGGGUUCCUGGGCCAGGCUAAUCCGCCCAGGGUAAGUCGGGACCUAAGGCGAGGCCGACAGGCGUAGUCGAUGGACAACGGGUUGAUAUUCCCGUACCCGUGUGAACGCGCCCAUGAUGAACCUUGUGAUACUAACCGCCC